UACGGGGGGGGCAAGCGUUGUUCGGAAUUACUGGGCGUAAAGGGCUUGUAGGUGGCCAACUAAGUCAGACGUGAACUCCCUCGGCUUAACCGGGGAACUGCAUCUGAUACUGGAUGGCUUGAGUUCGGGAGAGGGAUGCGGAAUUCCAGGUGUAGCGGUGAAAUGCGUAGAUAUCUGGAGGAACACCCGUGGCGAAGGCGGCCCACUGGGCCGGUACUGACGCUGAGGCACGAAGGCGUGGGGAGCGAACGGG
Molecule: ribosomal RNA, 253 nt
Filed under: uncultured bacterium
Lineage: Bacteria
Description: partial 16S ribosomal RNA
Rfam family: Bacterial small subunit ribosomal RNA
Source: RNAcentral